GACGAACGCUGGCGGCGUGCUUAACACAUGCAAGUCGAACGGUAAGGCCCUUCGGGGUACACGAGUGGCGAACGGGUGAGUAACACGUGGGUGAUCUGCCCUGCACUUCGGGAUAAGCCUGGGAAACUGGGUCUAAUACCGGAUAGGACCACUGCCUGCAUGGGUGGUGGUGGAAAGCUUUUGCGGUGUGGGAUGGGCCCGCGGCCUAUCAGCUUGUUGGUGGGGUGAUGGCCUACCAAGGCGACGACGGGUAGCCGGCCUGAGAGGGUGACCGGCCACACCGGGACUGAGAUACGGCCCGGACUCCUACGGGAGGCAGCAGUGGGGAAUAUUGCACAAUGGGCGCAAGCCUGAUGCAGCGACGCCGCGUGAGGGAUGACGGCCUUCGGGUUGUAAACCUCUUUCAGCACCGACGAAGCGCAAGUGACGGUAGGUGCAGAAGAAGGACCGGCCAACUACGUGCCAGCCGCCGCCGUAA
RNAcentral lists this ribosomal RNA (478 nucleotides) under uncultured bacterium. Its description in RNAcentral is "partial 16S ribosomal RNA". It matches the Rfam family "Bacterial small subunit ribosomal RNA", at positions 28 to 523 of the family's 1533-position model. The record is from RNAcentral.